RNAcentral lists this ribosomal RNA (618 nucleotides) under uncultured soil bacterium. Its description in RNAcentral is "bacterial SSU rRNA". It matches the Rfam family "Bacterial small subunit ribosomal RNA", at positions 34 to 696 of the family's 1533-position model. The record is from RNAcentral.
CGCUGGCGGCAGGCCUCAAACAUGCAAGUCNAGGGGGUGUAGCAAUACACCACCGGCGSACGGGUGCGUAACGCGUGGGAAUGUACCUAUUGGUUCGGAACAACUGAGGGAAACUUCAGCUAAUACCGAAUGUGUCCUUACGGAGAAAGAUUUAUCGCCAAUAGAUCAGCCCGCGUCCGAUUAGCUAGUUGGUGGGGUAAAAGCCUACCAAGGCGACGAUCGGUAGCUGUUCUGAGAGGAAGAUCAGCCACACUGGGACUGAGACACGGCCCAGACUCCUACGGGAGGCAGCAGUUGGGAAUCUUGGACAAUGGGGGAAACCCUGAUCCAGCCAUGCCGCGUGAGUGAUGAAGGCCUUCGGGUUGUAAAACUCUUUCGCGCACGACGAUAAUGACGGUAGUGCGAGAAGAAGCUCCGGCUAACUUCGUGCCAGCAGCCGCGGUAAUACGAAGGGGGCUAGCGUUGUUCGGAAUUACUGGGCGUAAAGCGCGCGCAGGCGGUCUUCCAAGUCAGUGGUGAAAGCCNGGAGCUCAACUCCGGAACUGCCAUUGAAACUGUUAGACUUGAGGAUGAGAGAGGUGAGUGGAAUUCCCAGUGUAGAGGUGAAAUUCGUAGAUA